UCGGGAAUUUUGCUCAAUGGGCGCAAGCCUGAAGCAGCAACGCCGCGUGAGGGAUGAAGGCCUUCGGGUUGUAAACCUCUUUUCUCAGGGACGAUGAUGACGGUACCUGAGGAAUAAGUCACGGCUAACUACGUGCCAGCAGCCGCGGUAAUACGUAGGUGACCAGCGUUGUCCGGAUUUACUGGGCGUAAAGAGCGCGCAGGCGGUCGUUCAAGUCGAGUGUGAAAGCCCCCGGCUCAACUGGGGAGGGUCACUCGAUACUGAUCGACUUGAAGGCAGGAGAGGGUAGCGGAAUUCCCGGUGUAGUGGUGAAAUGCGUAGAUAUCGGGAGGAACACCAGUGGCGAAGGCGGCUUCCUGGCGUGUUCUUGACGCUGAGGCGCGAAAGCUAGGGGAGCAAACG
Molecule: ribosomal RNA, 402 nt
Filed under: uncultured bacterium
Lineage: Bacteria
Description: bacterial SSU rRNA
Rfam family: Bacterial small subunit ribosomal RNA
Source: RNAcentral